AACGUUGAACUGCCUGUAGAAGC
This 23-nucleotide non-coding RNA is filed under the name Cricetulus griseus (Chinese hamster). Lineage: Eukaryota; Metazoa; Chordata; Mammalia; Rodentia; Cricetidae. The record is from RNAcentral.